AAUGACUGGUGAUGGUUUUGAUCUGCUUCAUGGCCUGUCUCAAAAGAAGCUAUUGCUGCUAUUAUCUUUGGGAAACUCGGGCCUUUUGGGUGUGAUCUGUGCAGACUUCUCUCUGCCUGCACCACUGUGCCUGUCAGUCGGACCUGACCUUCAAAGACCUUGCAUGUUUUGCACGCAUAGGAUUAAUCUACACCCAAUGCAAUUCUCUUACUCCCUCAGGUUCCCAGGUUUGUGGAACAAAAACAGUUGUAACUCUUGAAGGCAGUGAUGUGCUCCACAAACUUCCUCUUUCUCCACUGAUUGUAGAUCCUCAGUCUGGAGAGGACAGGAAUUCAGAUUUCUGGCUUGAAACUAGCCCCGCUGUAUGAGUUAAUUGUUCAAUCUGCUCUAAAAGAAAAACGCAGUGAAGACUUGUCUACAAAUGAAUCUUGUUUCUUUGUGCCUAAAGGACUCUCAGAAACAACUGGAAGGAUUGAUGGUACUUGAACUCCUGGCCACUUGGCUCUAGGUACAUUCACCUAAUUUGAAUGCGUUUGAGAAGGAGAGAGGAUCUCAUUUAGCUUCUUUAUCUAAGCAUUCUACUUUUAAAGAA
This is a long non-coding RNA of Empidonax traillii (willow flycatcher), 592 nucleotides long. RefSeq lists it as uncharacterized. The transcript is spliced from 3 exons. NCBI's taxonomy places the organism in Eukaryota, Metazoa, Chordata, Aves, Passeriformes, Tyrannidae. The record is from RefSeq and is a predicted model, not a curated record.